UGUAGGCUGCACCUAUGAGCCGAAGGACUCUGCAGCUGUACUUUCCUCUAGAGGGAUUUAUGUAUUAAGCUGCUGGUGCUGAACCCGUGUCAGGGUCUGAGCAGCCCUGCCUGGGGGGGAACUACUGCCACUGUGUUUUCAGGUGUCUGCGGAGCUCUGGGACAGCACAGGAGGACGGGGCACUGCCAGCUGCUGCAAGAGAGCUGCCACGGCAGCCAGCUGUGCUCUCUCUGAGCUGGAGCCUGCCGCGGCGUCAGCAGGGCAAGCAGUGAGAAACAGGCUGCCUGUACCAGCCUGAAGGUUUAGCUCUGCCAGAGGUUAGAAAAGAGGUUGUUUGUCUGAAGAGACAAGGGUGUGGUGAAAAUACUAGGUGCCAGCCAAGUGAACUAAAACACUAUCUGAAUUACAAAGCAGGCUGGAAAAUAAAAUUUAACUGACAGAAGAUCUGGACCUCACCUGUGCUGAGAGACAGAGAGAAAAGGAGUCCUAAGAACUGGUCAUGUACAGCUCCUUUGGAGGGAAUUCUGCUGUUGACUUAUUUGCUACAAUCAAGACAGAAGGGGGCAUGAGGGAAAAGUCUACACGCAGGUUUUUGCUAUUGGACAUACUUCAUCCCUGAUACAGCAUCUGCACUAUGAAAUUCACCCUGAAUGAACGGGCAUUCAGGUGUCUUUACCUCCAGGAGACAGGACGCAACUCUCAGGCUGAAUUAGCCCCAGUUGGAUACGUUUUUUAAACUCUCCAGUGGUAACAGACCUGAAGACUUUUCCCCCACACUGGCCUGGACUGAACACUUGGCAGGCAGUAACAUGCAAACUCUGACCACAUCACUGGUGUGAAAUUGCUGAUUAACCUUUUGACUCUGACAAUUGGGACUUCUCUCAACACCAACUGACAGGCUGUCUCUGACAGAAGAAUACAGUUCAUCAAAAGUGUCUGCAGGUUGUCAAACUCGGUGAGAUUUGGGGACACUCGGAGGCUGUCAUGGCCAACAAGAAGAUUUUCUGUAGGGUUCUGCCAUCAUUCACCCUCAGGAAAUAAUCACUCACUACAUUCUGCAUGCUCUCAUGAUAGAGCUCUAUUUGAGAGAAAAGAGCCAUUUUAUCAAAGGACAAUAUAUCCCUUCUCUUGGUCCAUGCAGCUUCCAUUAUCAGACCAUAAUAAAUCAUAUUUAUGUUCUCAGUUAAUAAGACUGAUUACAAUGCAGGUUACAGGCAUGGGAAAAGCAAAGCAGGUGAAAAGAUGUUUUAAUGAAAAUAUGAUAAGCAAACAGCUUCUUGUGAACAUUUCAGGCUGUUAUUUGUAAUGAUCACAGGCAAUUUUUGAUACAUCUUCUUUAGCAAUGGUUUAAGCUGCAUAAAUUGGCUUGCCACUUUAUACGUUGAAAUAGGAAGAAUCCCAGUGUCCUUCUUAUGUUGUCUAGAAUCAUUAUAUACAUUAUAAGCAUAAAAUGAGUUUAAUGUAUGUGCUUUGAAAAGAAGGGGAAAACAGAAAAUCAGGGAAGACUGAUUUUAAUGCCUCUCAAAAUGAUUUUGAAAUUUUCUACUCAUCUUUGUUACUAACGGUACAUUUUCCAUGAAAUUUAGGAAUGACAUGUACUGCUUUCAUCUCCUUAAAAUUAAUAUACCACUCUCUAUGUUUUUCUCAAUUUCUUCAAAGUUCUUUUUAAAGCACUGUGCAAAGAGACAGAGAGAAAUUCUCCACUCGAUGUGUGAGCAUAUCUGCUAUUAAUGCUGAGGGGAGUUAAGUGUAUGCUUCUACAGGAGAAUAUACCCUGGUGUUCAAUACUGAAAGUUGCAGAGGUUGGAACCUGAUUUAUUCAGAAGGUGGGGAGGUUCUGGCAGUUCUGAAAGACAGCAAAAGCAGCAUGGCUUUCUUCUACCAAAGUGGUAUUUUCAAGGAGAAGAUGCAGGAAUCAGGUGUAGCUCCCAAGACACAAGGACUAGCAAAGUGCAGCAUGGAAGAUCUCAAGACAAAGCAGCAGCCUCAACAUUUCUCUCUAAUGAGAAAAGGAAAAGACAGUCGAGGUCCCAUAGGAAUGCAGUAUUUAGGGAGAGAACCAAGACUCCUUUCAUGAAUGGAGAGAUAACCCUGAUGAAUUCUGGACUACCUGCUAUCUUACGGGCAUGUCUAGGUUUAAGAAUGAUUUGGAUCACAGGCUGUAACAUUUUCCAGACAUUCAGAUUGCAACUACUAAGCCAGCAAUUUUAUGCUUUCCUUUCUCUGACUCCAACAGUACCGCGAUAUAAGCAGCCAGAUUUUCUUCUGCAUUGUGUUUUUUAUCCAUUCAGCCAAAAUUAACAGUCUUCAAGGAUAACGUAUGCCAAGUGAAUUUAAAUCUUGCGGACUCAAAUCGACCUAAAGUUGAUGGAUACAUUCAUGCCUACCGCUGAAAUCUACCAAUUACACAGAACUAUGUUAACUUACCAUAGAAACAUCUCAUCUAAUAGCACAGAUGAUGUUGAACUAACUAAUUACAUUAUGGCACAUAGACAAUGAAAAACAUAACGAAGAUGACAGCACAGCAACAGCAGAUGCUGCACAAAAGAAAAAUUAGAAAAAUACUGCUCUGCAGAAUGCUCUCAGUUAAGGUUUCCUCUGUUAAAAUUAAUCACAAAAAUUAGUGAAGAUCAGAUUUCGGAAAAAGAUAUGAACAUUGUAAUGGUAUUUGGAAUAUGUCAUUAAGCCAUUUAAAACUCUACUCCUUGUGAAGGUAAUUCCCAUUUUCUGUAUCACUAUCAGUUUUAAGACUAGUAAACAUUUUAGUGCCUAUGGCAGAGUUUCUUGGUAGCAUAUCUUUUCCAAUCAGGAGAGGUCCUGAUGGCUCUUCCAGAGACUGAAUUUGGUAGCUCCCAGCCAUUACAGGCUUAGAUAAUUAGACAACUUAGAUUUUAUUUUAGCUUGGCAUUUGCUCUAUUCUUGUGCUCUUAGCUGUCAGAAAGUGAGAAUAACAGUGACUGUCUAUUAUCUGGAGCAUGCCUUGUUACUUUAUAUAUUUUAAAUUGUACCAGAUCCUAAACAACAAAUCUAAAAUUGCUGAGUAUAUUUAAAUGUAAUAUGUGCAUGGAGAUUACAUCCAGAUGAUAUAUUUCAUAGACCUAUGCUAAAAAAAUACAUUAUUUUUAACCACAAUACCGGUGCUCUCCCCCUUUUCCCUGCAGAAGCUUUCCACCAGCUCCAAGUCCGCUUUAUGCACAGACUCUGAACGUAACCUAGUCUAUGGAGAAAGACAGAUAAAGGCUUUUCUCCAGCAUUUAAAUGAUACCUGUGGUGCCAUUCGAAUUUCAAUACUUUAUUUGCUAUAGAAUUAGAAACAAAACAUACCUACGACAUCCCGGGGUUUCCCCAAGCCUGUUUUUCCUAGCUAGACGUUUUUUCCUUACAUUUUAAACGGUUACUGGGCGCACGUCUCCGCGGUCCAGCUGAGGCCCGAGAUGCAGAAACGAAGGAGGCCUACAGGUGGCGAUGUGGUUCAAGUACACCUGGGCUUCGCUGCCCGAGGCCGCGCUCACCGGCCGGCCUGCCGUCGGGCAGCCGGCCUGCCGAGCCGCUCCGACACACCCGUUCGUAAGGAAGCGCUCCUGGCCCAAAUGCUGCAAACCUUGCGGGUGCUUCGCCCCCACGUUACCCACCAGCAGGACGGGUCUAAGGUACUUUUGUUGCCUCUGACGCCAGAGGGGCGGUGGGCUACGCCAACUCGUAAUUCCGUCAUGCUGCUGUCGCUAAGCGUUAUUUUGACGGCAGCAACUAACCGGGCCCUCUGCCGGGGCACAGGUCAGCACUGGCCAGGGCGCGCACGCGGCCGCGCGUGGCAGCAGUUGCAGCGGCGCCCAUCCCACUGGCUGUGCAGCAUUGGCUGCUGCUUACAUCAGCAGGCUGGAAUCGAGAAACUCCUGUGAUGAAGUUUUUCUCUUCUUUUGCUACUCCUGGAAAUGUACAGUUGAUCUGACUCGCAGCCCGCUUGGUGAAGCACGUUUGUGUGACGGCGUGCAUGUGCCCUG
Molecule: long non-coding RNA, 4001 nt
Organism: Athene cunicularia (burrowing owl)
Lineage: Eukaryota; Metazoa; Chordata; Aves; Strigiformes; Strigidae
Exons: 7
Source: RefSeq, a predicted model, not a curated record